AUGUAUACUCCUUUGAUCUCAGAAUGAGCUGAAGAUCAGUGACCCAAGUGUGACAGGGUAAACUCCCAAGAAUGUCCAUUGAGAGCCUCAAACCAUGUGUCUCCUGGGAAGUGACCUGAGCAGAAGAAAGAGCCGAGAUAAAAGAAGGGGAAGAGAAACACAGAAGAGCUCCUCAGAGGACCACAUCAUGGGAACUGAGCCUCCUCAGAGCCUUGCUGCUUCUAAGAUCCAGGGAAUAUCUUGCCUUCCAGCCCAUGGAGGAAGGCCCAGCAAUGACAGAGCCCUAUAAGAAAAGAGUGCCAGGAAUCCCCUGUGAAGAUUCAAAUCUUCUAUCCACCGUCUCUCUCCCAAAAGCAUCUGAUCCACAGAAGGAAGCCAGGUCUCCCAGAGGAUUGCAUCCUGGCUCCACGGAG
Molecule: long non-coding RNA, 413 nt
Filed under: Mus caroli (Ryukyu mouse)
Lineage: Eukaryota; Metazoa; Chordata; Mammalia; Rodentia; Muridae
Description: lncRNA (MGP_CAROLIEiJ_G0004976.1)
Source: RNAcentral